RNAcentral lists this long non-coding RNA (382 nucleotides) under Brassica napus (rape). Its description in RNAcentral is "long non-coding RNA (BNAP_LNC011678)". The record is from RNAcentral. Lineage: Eukaryota; Viridiplantae; Streptophyta; Magnoliopsida; Brassicales; Brassicaceae.
UAAAGGUAUUGGGUUUAGUGUUGAUGAAGGGUUGUUUGGGGUGUUGGGGUUGGAUGUUGGGUUUAUGUGUCUUUUUAUGGGGUGUUUUGCAAUUUUUUUUAAACGGUAUAGAGUUUCUUUUGUAAGGGUUAUUGGUUUGUAUGCGAAUUUCAGUUUUAACCAUAUUAACUUUUAAUAUAGUAUAAUGUUAAACAAUAAUGGUAUAGUGCUUCAUCUAUUUGGGUUACUUCUAAAAUGUGUAUUUUGUUUAGGGUUAAUGUUGGGAGAGGGGGGUUUGGGUUUAGUUUUCCGUAAGGGUGGAGAUGUUGUAUGCAAAUUUCAUUUAUAACCAUAUUAACUUUAAUAUGGUUAUGUGUUGAAAAAUGGUAUAGUACGUCAUCUU